GACGAACGCUGGCGGCGUGCUUAACACAUGCCAGUCGAACGGUAAGGCUCCAGCUUGCUGGGGUACACGAGUGGCGAACGGGUGAGUAACACGUGGGUGACCUGCCCUGCACUUCGGGAUAAGCCUGGGAAACUGGGUCUAAUACCGGAUAGGACCAUGGUGUGGAUACUGUGGUGGAAAGUUUUUUCGGUGUGGGAUGGGCCCGCGGCCUAUCAGCUUGUUGGUGGGGUAAUGGCCUACCAAGGCGGGGACGGGUAGCCGGCCUGAGAGGGUGGACGGCCACAUUGGGACUGAGACACGGCCCAGACUCCUACGGGAGGCAGCAGUGGGGAAUAUUGCACAAUGGGCGGAAGCCUGAUGCAGCGACGCCGCGUGGGGGAUGACGGCCUUCGGGUUGUAAACUCCUUUCACCAUCGACGAAGGGUUUCUGACGGUAGAUGGAGAAGAAGCACCGGCUAACUACGUG
Molecule: ribosomal RNA, 466 nt
Filed under: uncultured bacterium
Lineage: Bacteria
Description: partial 16S ribosomal RNA
Rfam family: Bacterial small subunit ribosomal RNA
Source: RNAcentral